GGAGAGGAAGAGAAGAGCACGAAAUUUUGUGCUCUGAAAGAGCUCUAAAAUCAAAAGUUUAAUUUUUAAAUGAUCAAAGUUGAAAAAAUGCACACACAUGACCACUAUUUAUAGCCUAAGCAUCACACAAAAUUGGAGGGAAAUUUGAAUUUCAAUUCAAAUUUCACUUGAAUUUGAAAUUGAAUUUGUGGAGCCAAAUUUUAGAGCCAAAAUUUUACUUAUUAUGAUUAGUGAAUUUUAGU
Molecule: long non-coding RNA, 242 nt
Filed under: Glycine max (soybean)
Lineage: Eukaryota; Viridiplantae; Streptophyta; Magnoliopsida; Fabales; Fabaceae
Description: long non-coding RNA (GMAX_LNC000114)
Source: RNAcentral